UGGGGAAUAUUGCACAAUGGGCGAAAGCCUGAUGCAGCGACGCCGCGUGAGGGAUGACGGCCUUCGGGUUGUAAACCUCUUUCAGCAGGGAAGAAGCGAAAGUGACGGUACCUGCAGAAGAAGCACCGGCUAACUACGUGCCAGCAGCCGCGGUAAUACGUAGGGUGCGAGCGUUGUCCGGAAUUAUUGGGCGUAAAGAGCUUGUAGGCGGUUUGUCGCGUCUGCUGUGAAAUUUCGGGGCUCAACCCCGAACUUGCAGUGGGUACGGGCAGACUAGAGUGUGGUAGGGGAGACUGGAAUUCCUGGUGUAGCGGUGAAAUGCGCAGAUAUCAGGAGGAACACCGAUGGCGAAGGCAGGUCUCUGGGCCACUACUGACGCUGAGAAGCGAAAGCAUGGGGAGCGAACA
This 407-nucleotide ribosomal RNA is filed under the name uncultured Intrasporangiaceae bacterium. RNAcentral's name for it is "bacterial SSU rRNA". It matches the Rfam family "Bacterial small subunit ribosomal RNA", at positions 355 to 774 of the family's 1533-position model. The record is from RNAcentral. RNAcentral also lists the same sequence under 1 other name. Lineage: Bacteria; Bacillati; Actinomycetota; Actinomycetes; Micrococcales; Intrasporangiaceae.